This 253-nucleotide ribosomal RNA is filed under the name uncultured bacterium. RNAcentral's name for it is "partial 16S ribosomal RNA". It matches the Rfam family "Bacterial small subunit ribosomal RNA", at positions 524 to 776 of the family's 1533-position model. The record is from RNAcentral.
UACGUAGGGUGCGAGCGUUAAUCGGAAUUACUGGGCGUAAAGCGUGCGCAGGCGGUUCGCCAAGUCAGGUGGGAAAUCCCCGGGCUUAACCUGGGAAUUGCGCUUGAAACUAGCGGGCUUGAGUGUGGCAGAGGGGGGUGGAAUUCCACGUGUAGCAGUGAAAUGCGUAGAGAUGUGGAGGAACACCGAUGGCGAAGGCAGCCCCCUGGGUCAACACUGACGCUCAUGCACGAAAGCGUGGGGAGCAAACAGG